GAGUUUGAUCUUGGCUCAGAUUGAACGCUGGCGGCAUGCCUUACACAUGCAAGUCGAACGGCAGCACGGGAGCUUGCUCCUGGUGGCGAGUGGCGAACGGGUGAGUAAUGCAUCGGAACGUAUCCUGGAGUGGGGGGAUAACGUAGCGAAAGUUACGCUAAUACCGCAUAUUCUGUGAGCAGGAAAGCGGGGGACCUUCGGGCCUCGCGCUCUUGGAGCGGCCGAUGUCGGAUUAGCUAGUUGGUGAGGUAAAGGCUCACCAAGGCGACGAUCCGUAGCAGGUCUGAGAGGAUGAUCUGCCACACUGGAACUGAGACACGGUCCAGACUCCUACGGGAGGCAGCAGUGGGGAAUUUUGGACAAUGGGGGCAACCCUGAUCCAGCCAUGCCGCGUGAGUGAAGAAGGCCUCGG
This 412-nucleotide ribosomal RNA is filed under the name bacterium enrichment culture clone ALO1_GLFRUDD03GXMXT. RNAcentral describes it as "bacterial SSU rRNA". It matches the Rfam family "Bacterial small subunit ribosomal RNA", at positions 9 to 420 of the family's 1533-position model. The record is from RNAcentral.